Molecule: ribosomal RNA, 607 nt
Filed under: uncultured bacterium
Lineage: Bacteria
Description: bacterial SSU rRNA
Rfam family: Bacterial small subunit ribosomal RNA
Source: RNAcentral
AAAGCGAGCGGCGGAUGGGUGAGUAACACGUGGGGAACCUGCCCCUAAGUCUGGGAUACCAUUUGGAAACAGGUGCUAAUACCGGAUAAUAAAGCAGAUCGCAUGAUCAGCUUUUGAAAGGCGGCGUAAGCUGUCGCUAAGGGAUGGCCCCGCGGUGCAUUAGCUAGUUGGUAAGGUAACGGCUUACCAAGGCGACGAUGCAUAGCCGAGUUGAGAGACUGAUCGGCCACAUUGGGACUGAGACACGGCCCAAACUCCUACGGGAGGCAGCAGUAGGGAAUCUUCCACAAUGGACGCAAGUCUGAUGGAGCAACGCCGCGUGAGUGAAGAAGGUUUUCGGAUCGUAAAGCUCUGUUGUUGGUGAAGAAGGAUAGAGGUAGUAACUGGCCUUUAUUUGACGGUAAUCAACCAGAAAGUCACGGCUAACUACGUGCCAGCAGCCGCGGUAAUACGUAGGUGGCAAGCGUUGUCCGGAUUUUAUUGGGCCGUAAAGCGGAGCGCAGGCGGAAAAAUAAGUCUAAUGUGAAAGCCCUCGGCUUAACCGAGGAACUGCAUCGGAAACUGUUUUUCUUGUGUGCAGAAGAGGAGAGUGGAACUCCCAUGUGUA